UUGGUGUACCUAGAGAGGAAAUGUAAGUU
Molecule: non-coding RNA, 29 nt
Filed under: Homo sapiens (human)
Lineage: Eukaryota; Metazoa; Chordata; Mammalia; Primates; Hominidae
Source: RNAcentral